RNAcentral lists this long non-coding RNA (1213 nucleotides) under Helianthus annuus (common sunflower). RNAcentral's name for it is "hypothetical non coding rna". The record is from RNAcentral. Lineage: Eukaryota; Viridiplantae; Streptophyta; Magnoliopsida; Asterales; Asteraceae.
AUGUGCACUUCGACCACCAUGAGAGGUAAAUCAGUUAAAUGAACGUUGUGGGUGUGUUCCCUAUAUAACCCUCACGAGACCUACUCGUCCUCCCGAGCUAUCGGUAGGUUUAAAAGGGCUUGUUGCAUACGCUAAAUGCAACCGUGAUUCCUACGAAAGUGAGUUAGGCUUGUUAUUGUUAUAAAUUAUUUUCCACAUAAAUCAAAGUAAAAUAAAGUAUGACUUGGUAAUAAUUUCAUAAAAGUGGUAGAACUAGGUAACUAACAAAUUUUGAUGGUUGUGAGAAGCAUGCUUCUACACAAGGGUUAAAAUUUGUAGGUACAUUAUGUUCACGAGACAACCGCUUUCUUGAAGAGAUGAAGAGCACAUGAGCCACUAGCGAGAAAAUCAGGUGCAUACGUUUCUUUUUACCUUUGAUUUUUUUUUAGUUAGCAAAUAAGUGGAUUGUAAAUUGUAUUUUAUUUUCCGGGUUGAAAUUUUGGGGAGGUUAGCCGUGUCACGUCCCUUGUGCGUUUUAAAAACUCUAGUUCUCACACAUUGAGGACAAUGUUCGCCUCAAGUGUGGGGAUGGGGGAGUUAGUAAAAGUUUUCGAUUUUUGACCCGUUCAUUUAAACACUACACAUUGAGGACAAUGUUUACCUCAAGUGUGGGGAUGGGGGAAAAAUUUCAAAAAAUUUUCAAAAAUGUCUUUGUUUGAAGCAAUCUAAAAAGCAAAAAUAACUAAGUUAACGAGGGAUGACACAACCCAUUUGGUCUUUUGUCAUGGUCAAGUUCAAGUUAAUAGCAUGACGGGUAUUUAGCGGGUGGUUAUUUGGGAAUAAUCCGCCUAAGAAACUAGCACAUCAUGCAUGUCACAUACCAUACCCUUUAUAUAUGUGAGGUUUUGAGACACUUUUACAUAAUAGAAUUACAUAUAUAUAUGUUUCUUUGUUUGAGUGGACCAUUAGUCAUGUAUUGUAGAACUUGCAUCUUUUGAUACGUUUGAGACCAUAGACCGAAUACAAGCACGAGAAUGAUUAAGGCAUUAGGUAAACCUUUUCUUUUAAAACCAUUUAUCCAUCCUUACCCAAAUAAAUCCCCUAGUCGCCCACUUUGAGCCUAAACCUUUCGUUUGACCAACCCAUUUAGCCCAUAACCGUUAAACCUUUUAUUUUUAACCCGUGUGGUGAAAAUUCGAUUUUAGGUUUCUUUGUUUGUAUAGUGUGGUUUGCA